GAGUAUUGAAGGAGGUUUGGGUCUGCCUUGGUCGGAUUUGGUAAAGAAAGGUGCAGUUGACUUUGAAAUUCAACCAUGGCUUUCAUUAUCAGAUGGUGCCAAAGAUUAAUUUGAAAGAUGCUGAGACAAGCAAAUUGCACAGAGGAUAUGUGGAUAUGUUGUUGCAGCAAAAAUGUUAUCACUUGGCUGGACACUUGCUAGCUUGGAGGAGAGAGAUUUUUUUUUUUUUGAGAG
Fragaria vesca subsp. vesca is the source of this 234-nucleotide RNA transcript. RefSeq lists it as uncharacterized. The record is from RefSeq and is a predicted model, not a curated record. Lineage: Eukaryota; Viridiplantae; Streptophyta; Magnoliopsida; Rosales; Rosaceae. The transcript is spliced from 2 exons.